Molecule: small nuclear RNA, 105 nt
Organism: Phoenix dactylifera (date palm)
Lineage: Eukaryota; Viridiplantae; Streptophyta; Magnoliopsida; Arecales; Arecaceae
Source: RefSeq, a predicted model, not a curated record
AUCUCUUCGGAGACGUAUGAUAAAAUUGUAACGAUACAGAGUAGGUUAGCAUCGCCCCUGUGCGCUUGGAUGAUGUGCAUAAAUUGAGAAAUGGUCUAAAUUUUU